RNAcentral lists this ribosomal RNA (253 nucleotides) under uncultured bacterium. RNAcentral's name for it is "partial 16S ribosomal RNA". It matches the Rfam family "Bacterial small subunit ribosomal RNA", at positions 524 to 776 of the family's 1533-position model. The record is from RNAcentral.
UACGGGGGGGGCAAGCGUUGUUCGGAAUUACUGGGCGUAAAGGGCGCGUAGGCGGCCUUCUAAGUCGGACGUGAAAUCCCUCGGCUUAACCGAGGAACUGCGUCUGAUACUGAAAGGCUUGAAUCCGGGAGAGGGAUGUGGAAUUCCAGGUGUAGCGGUGAAAUGCGUAGAUAUCUGGAGGAACACCGGUGGCGAAGGCGGCAUCCUGGACCGGCAUUGACGCUGAGGCGCGAAAGCUAGGGGAGCAAACGGG